Myotis davidii is the source of this 73-nucleotide non-coding RNA. The record is from Rfam. Lineage: Eukaryota; Metazoa; Chordata; Mammalia; Chiroptera; Vespertilionidae.
AGAUCCAUGAUGGAGUGGUCUUCACAUCUGCUUGACAAGCAGAAAAUCCUGGGUUUGAUUCCCAAUGGAACCA